RNAcentral lists this ribosomal RNA (255 nucleotides) under uncultured bacterium. RNAcentral describes it as "partial 16S ribosomal RNA". It matches the Rfam family "Bacterial small subunit ribosomal RNA", at positions 524 to 776 of the family's 1533-position model. The record is from RNAcentral.
UACAGAGGUCUCAAGCGUUGUUCGGAUUCAUUGGGCGUAAAGGGUGCGUAGGCGGCGCGGUAAGUCGGGUGUGAAAUCUCGGGAGCUUAACUCCGAAACUGCAUUCGAUACUGCCGUGCUUGAGGACUGGAGAGGAGACUGGAAUUUACGGUGUAGCGGUGAAAUGCGUAGAUAUCGUAAGGAAGACCAGUGGCGAAGGCGGGUCUCUGGACAGUUCCUGACGCUGAGGCACGAAGGUCCAGGGGAGCAAACGGG